Molecule: ribosomal RNA, 253 nt
Filed under: uncultured bacterium
Lineage: Bacteria
Description: partial 16S ribosomal RNA
Rfam family: Bacterial small subunit ribosomal RNA
Source: RNAcentral
UACGUAGGGCGCAAGCGUUGUCCGGAAUUAUUGGGCGUAAAGAGCUCGUAGGCGGCUUGUCACGUCGGGUGUGAAAGCCCGGGGCUUAACCCCGGGUCUGCAUUCGAUACGGGCAGGCUAGAGUGUGGUAGGGGAGAUCGGAAUUCCUGGUGUAGCGGUGAAAUGCGCAGAUAUCAGGAGGAACACCGGUGGCGAAGGCGGGACUCUGGGCCGAUACUGACGCUGAGGAGCGAAAGCGUGGGGAGCGAACAGG